GUCUUCUUGGUUUUAUAGGAAGUCUGACCUGCCCGGUGAAUAAGUAUUUAACGGCCGCGGUAUUUUGACCGUGCAAAGGUAGCAUAAUCAUUAGUCUUUUAAUAGAGGGCUGGAAUGAAGGGUUUGACGAAAUGCUUACUGUCUCAUUUAAUUUGAAAUUUGAAUUUAACUUUUUAGUUAAAAGGCUAAAUUGUUGUUGGAAGACGAGAAGACCCUAUAGAGCUUUAUAUUUUAAAAUUUAAAGAAUUUUUGUUCAAUUAUUAUUUUUUAAAUGGAGACUUAUUUUGUUGGGGUGACAAAAACAUAUAAUAAACUUUUUUAUUUAGAUAACAUUGAUUUAUGAAUAUUAGAUCCAUUAUUAUUGAUUGAUAGAGAAAGUUACCUUAGGGAUAACAGCGUAAUCUUCCUUCAGAGUUCAAAUUUACAGGAAGGCUUGCGACCUCGAUGUUGGAUUAAGAUAAUAAUUAGGUGUAGCCGCUUAAUUAAUAGGUCUGUUCGACCUUUAAAUUCUU
Molecule: ribosomal RNA, 512 nt
Filed under: Chlorogomphus nasutus
Lineage: Eukaryota; Metazoa; Arthropoda; Insecta; Odonata; Chlorogomphidae
Description: partial 16S ribosomal RNA
Rfam family: Bacterial large subunit ribosomal RNA
Source: RNAcentral